AAAACCACUUUGAGAUCUUAAAACUUUUACCCGAAGGAGCUGCAGGCUACAAAAGAUGAGCAGCAACCCGGGAGGGUCUACCCCUCAACGGUCGCUGCGAAUGCGGCCUUGGAGCAACAUGGCAAGACGACAGUGUGGAGGGCAGGGCUGGGAGCCAUAGAGAAGAGGACAGGGCAAUUCCUUCAAGGGUGGGGGCGCUCCCAGCACCCACCUGGCCAAAUGGCAUCAUCGCUGUCAUCAGAGCCUGCUUUGCAUCUUCUGUUCUUCCCUUCUCUGAAGAGGAUGUUGUCCUGUGCUUGCCCUAUCUGCACCCCACCACUGGAUCCGGAAGUGUGUUGUGUGUCUAUACUGGGGUGGAGAAAGGAAGGACACGAUAACUUGUUCUUUUAGGCAUCGGUUUCCAGAUCACAGGGAGUCACAGAGGACCUGGAGGAGAGAAUCCUGUGUGUGCUGGAGAUCCCGAACUGUGGCGGAGGCCCCAGGAGGCAGUGAUGGUGUGGACUCAGCUGCCUCUCCGGGAAGCAGCUGCUGACUGGAUACAGAUGUCCAAGGCCAAUGAGGAAGCCAUGUGUCAAAGAUGGCAGGGGGCAGGGCAUGGUGGCUUACACCAGUAAUCCCAGCACUGUGGAAGGCUGAAGCAGCUGGAUCACUUGAACCCAGGAGUUUGAGACCAGCCUGGGCAACAUAGUGAGACACCAUCUCUACAAAGAAUUUAAAAACUGGGCCAGUCGUGAUGGCUCACGCCUGUAAUCCCAGCACUUUGGGAGGCUGAGGCAGGCAGAUCACAAGGUCAGGAGUUCGAGACCAGCCUGGCCAACACAGUGAAACCCUGUCUCCACUAAAAAAUACAAAAAAUUAGCUGGGCGUGGUGGCAGGCGCCCAUAAUCCCAGCUACUCGGGAGGCUGAGGCAGGAGAAUCGCUUGAACCCAGGAGGCGGAAGUUGCAGUGAGCCGAGAUCGCACCAUUGCCCUCCAGCCCGGGCAACAGUGUGAUGAGACUCCAUCUAAAAAAUAAAUAAAUAAAUAAAUAAAUAAAUAAAUAAAUAAAUAAAUAAAAUAAAAAACUAGCUGGGCACAGUGGCUCACAUCUGUAGUUCCAGCUACUUGGGAGGCUGAGGUGGGAGGAUUGCUUGAGUCCAGGGGGUUGAGGCUGCAGUGAGCAGUGAUUGCACCACUGCACUCCAGUCUGGGUGGGUGACAGAGCAAGACUCUGUCUCAAAAAACAAACAAAAAAAAACUUUUGUGACUUUGUGGAACUCAGGCCAACUGGAUUUCCUAUGAAGAAAUACACUUCUAUUACAUUAAGCCACUGAAACCUUGGUGUUUGCCUGUAAUAGCAGCUGGUGUCACCUUAACUAGAGUUGAAGCCAUGGGAGCAGAGCAACCAGAGCAGGGAGAGGCAGGAAGAGAACUGAGGCAGGACCCUGGGGACACCUCAUUAAAGAGCGGCUGACACGGAGGUGGCACAAAGGAGACUGAGAAGGAAGCAAGAGGAGGAUGAGGGCAGAGUGGCCUUCUGGAAGAAAAGGAAUGUGGUGGCCAGGCAUGAUGGCUCACGUCUGUAAUCUCAGCACUUUAGG
This 1580-nucleotide long non-coding RNA is filed under the name Homo sapiens (human). Its description in RNAcentral is "HSALNT0242456". Lineage: Eukaryota; Metazoa; Chordata; Mammalia; Primates; Hominidae. The record is from RNAcentral.